Cucurbita moschata (crookneck pumpkin) is the source of this 115-nucleotide long non-coding RNA. RefSeq lists it as uncharacterized. The transcript is spliced from 4 exons. The record is from RefSeq and is a predicted model, not a curated record. NCBI's taxonomy places the organism in Eukaryota, Viridiplantae, Streptophyta, Magnoliopsida, Cucurbitales, Cucurbitaceae.
CAGAGCUCUAGGUUACAGAUCUUGUAGACUAACCUACGAUGUAGGCUUGAUAUGUUCUAUGGUCCCACCAUUGAUGCCCCAUCUACAUCAGAAAUUUCAUGAACAAAUGGUUAUG